AUGGCUGCGAAUGAGGACAACCUGGCCAGCCACAGCCACUUACCAGAGGACGGCAGGUAUCAUAGCCCAUGGGACCCUGAGCAAAAGGCCUCUGUCAAGUCCCCUUUCCUCUACCCCUUGAAGCCCUGUAAGGCAGAUACUGCUUCUGUGACACUGGGCUGCCUGGUAAAGGACUACUUCCCUGAUCCGGUGACUGUGACCUGGUAUUCAGACUCCCUGAACAUGAGCACCAUGAACUUCCCUGCCCUCGGCUCUGAACUCAAGGUCACCACCAGCCAAGUGAUCAGCUGGGGCAAAUCAGCCAAGAACUUCACAUGCCAAGUGACACAUCCUCCGACCUCAUUCAACAAUAGUAUAACUAUCCCAGUUCGACCUGUCAACAUCACUAAGCCUACCUUGAAGCUACUCCACUCAUCCUGCGACCCCAAUGCAUUCCACUCCACCAUCCAGUUGUACUGCUUCAUUUAUGGCCACAUCCUAAAUGAUGUCACGGUCAGCUGGCUAAUGGACGAUAAGAAGAUACCUGAUACACUUGCACAAAAUUUCCUAAUCAAGGAAGAAGGCAAACUAGCCUCUACCUACAGUAAGCUCAACAUCACCCAGCAGCAAUGGAUGUCUGAAAGCACCUUCACCUGCAAGGUCACCUCCCAAGAGGAGAACUAUUUGGCCCACACUCGGAGAUGCCCAGAUGAUGAGCCACGGGGUGUGAUUACCUACCUGAUCCCACCCAGCCCCCUGGACCUGUAUGAAAAGGGGACUCCCAAGCUUACCUGUCUGGUGGUAGACCUGGAAAGUGACGAGAAUGUCACUGUGACGUGGACCCAGGAGCACAAGAAGCCUGCAGGCUCGGCAUCCCAGAGGACCAUCAAGCACUAUAAUGCCACAACUAGUAUCGCCUCCAUCCUGCCUGUGGAUGCCAAGGACUGGAUUGAAGGUGAAGGCUACCGGUGCAUAGUGGCCCACCCUGACUUUCCCAAGCCCAUUGUGCGUUCCAUCACCAAGGCCCCAGGCAAGCGCUCAGCCCCCGAGGUAUAUGUGUUCCCGCCACCGGAGGAGGAGAGCAAGGACAAACGCACACUCACAUGCUUGAUCCAGAACUUCUUCCCUGAAGACAUAUUUGUGCAGUGGCUGCAGGACGACAAGCCGCUCCCAGACACCCAGCAUAGUACCACGGCACCUCUGAAAUCCAAUGGCUCCAAUCAAGGCUUCUUUGUCUUCAGCCGCCUAGAAGUCACCAAGACGCACUGGACACAGAGAAAAAAGUUCACCUGCCGAGUGAUCCACGAGGCAAUUCGGGAGAGAACAAUAUCCAAGAGUCUUGGUAACGCCUCCUUCCACCCCUCCCAGGCCUCCAUGUAGCUGUGGUGGGGAAGGUGGAUGGCAGACAUCUGCUCACUGUUGUAAGCCCAGGAAGCUACCCCAAUAAACACUCAGUGCCU
This is a non-coding RNA of Mastomys coucha (southern multimammate mouse), 1439 nucleotides long. The record is from the annotation of a RefSeq genome assembly. NCBI's taxonomy places the organism in Eukaryota, Metazoa, Chordata, Mammalia, Rodentia, Muridae.